This 1784-nucleotide long non-coding RNA is filed under the name Homo sapiens (human). RNAcentral describes it as "HSALNT0081861". Lineage: Eukaryota; Metazoa; Chordata; Mammalia; Primates; Hominidae. The record is from RNAcentral.
CCUGAACGGGAGUGAGAUUUUUUUUAAACCUGAUGUCACAUCCAGGACAAACAAGAGAAGUCCUUUUAACCAAAUAGGACUCCUAUAUAACAAGAGUCUUUGAGAAGAGAGUCGUAUGACCUAAGAUGUCCCCUCCAACUACUUUGAGAGACAUCUAUCUGCACAUGUGCACAAGGUGAAGAUUGAAUGCAGCAUUGUCUGUCUUAGCAAAAGCUAAACACAACCCAAAUAUCCAGGGAUAGGAAAAUAACUCAAUAAACGUCGGCUUAUCCUUAUUAUGGAAUCCCACACAGCAGUUGCAGAUCUUCAUGUGUUGACGUGGAAAUGUCUCCAAGGCAUACUGCCAAGUGAAUGGACAGCAUGUUAACGUCUGUGCGCCACUCGGCCUCACAAAUAAAAACGAUUCAGCAUAUCUAUCUGUCUAUAUCUCACUUAGGUAUCUGAAAAUAUACGUACGUACAUUUCAAAAAAGGGUACGCAUUAACCAAUAAUAGUGGCUGUCUCUAUGAUGGCUAUAACAACUCGAUUGAAGCUGGUUAAUGAGGACUUUAGUCUUACCGGUUUUAAGGAAGUUUUCAACAAGAACAUGUUUGUUUACAAUAUGCGUAAUUUUAAAGUGUUUUAAAAAAUAACUGUGAAGAUUUCACUACACUAAUACUUACCAAGGCAUUAUUCGGUAGAGUGAAAAUUUGGAAAUAGCAUAAUUGUCCAACUACAAGGUAUUUAGUUAAAUAUAUUAGGGGAGAUCUCAUGAUACAUUACAACACAACCAUCAAAAUAAUAUUUAGAAGUCCAGUAAACAACCAAGAGGAAAUGUUCAGAAUAAUGAUCAAAAGAAAAAAGCAGAUUACGAAACAGAGUGCACCUCAUUAAACACCUGUCAACCCCAGGGUCCAGGGCAGAGAAGUCAGAUUCCAAAAUCAGAGCAUGCUGGCCCAAAGGCUAAAGGUUCGGUAAUGCCAAAGUCAGCAAUGCUGGUGCAGACACAACAGAAAACUGAGGGCCAAAGAAAUUGAGAAGAAAGCCAGGCCAGACGGCUGGAUCAAGGAUGGAGGCAAAGUGCUAAGGGUGCUGCCUUAGACAAAUCCUGUCUGCACCUCUCCUCCUUCCACACCCUUCUGGAGUAGGCCCAGCUGUGCCCAGGGUCUGAACCCAGGCACUGAUUGUCCCGAGUCUGGAGGAGGUCUGGGCCUCGCCCUCUAACUGCUUCAGCAGGGACUGGGUCAGGCCAAGGACAAUGGCCUCCACCUGCUGGGAGAUCUUUCCAGACCAGAGAGCGGAACCUGCAGAAUGCAGAGGCCUUCUGGUUUGCUGGACAGUGGUGUACAUUCCAGGCUCAACUCUUCAUUCCUCUAGGGAGUGAAAAAACCCGCUCCACCUCCUGAGAGCAAGGCUAGGUUGUGAAUACCCUUUCCUUUGACGUAUUGAGAAACGGGUCCACAUUCAUUCAGUCACGAGAAAUGUCACUCAAAAUGGGAGUUUCCUCCUUGAGAAUCAAGAAUGAAUGUUAGAAAAUUAAGUGGCAGAAUUAGUCAAAGAGCAACCCCUUAGUGGAAUAGAUUUGACAUUACAGAAAAGGAACAGAGAGAAAGGAGAGAGAACAGAAAAAGGGGGUGGGUGGAUAAACGGUGGGGAGAGAAAGAGAGCUUGAUUUCUGCGUUUAUAAAUGACAAUGCGGUUUUGUCUAACCACCUGCUGCAGCAGGGCUGGGACACAAGGGAACCUGUGCCCUCCCAUGCGGUGGAGGGUAGAAGAUCAGAAAGACGAGAGGCCGGGGAGAGGCC